This 496-nucleotide ribosomal RNA is filed under the name uncultured bacterium. Its description in RNAcentral is "partial 16S ribosomal RNA". It matches the Rfam family "Bacterial small subunit ribosomal RNA", at positions 29 to 507 of the family's 1533-position model. The record is from RNAcentral.
AUGAACGCUGGCGGCGUGCCUAAUCUAUGCAAGUCGAGCGAACGGACGAGAAGCUUGCUUCUCUGAUGUUAGCGGCGGACGGGUGAGUAACACGUGGAUAACCUACCUAUAAGACUGGGAUAACUUCGGGAAACCGGAGCUAAUACCGGAUAAUAUUUUGAACCGCAUGGUUCAAAAGUGAAAGACGGUCUUGCUGUCACUUAUAGAUGGAUCCGCGCUGCAUUAGCUAGUUGGUAAGGUAACGGCUUACCAAGGCAACGAUGCAUAGCCGACCUGAGAGGGUGAUCGGCCACACUGGAACUGAGACACGGUCCAGACUCCUACGGGAGGCAGCAGUAGGGAAUCUUCCGCAAUGGGCGAAAGCCUGACGGAGCAACGCCGCGUGAGUGAUGAAGGUCUUCGGAUCGUAAAACUCUGUUAUUAGGGAAGAACAUAUGUGUAAGUAACUGUGCACAUCUUGACGGUACCUAAUCAGAAAGCCACGGCUAACUACGUG